UACGGAGGGUGCAAGCGUUAUCCGGAAUCAUUGGGCGUAAAGCGUCCGCAGGCGGUUUGUUAAGUUAGGUGUUAAAUCUUACAGCUCAACUGUAAAUCUAUACCUAAAACUGGCAAACUAGAGUACUACAGAGGUACGCGGAAUUCUGUGUGUAGGGGUAAAAUCCGUAGAUACACAGAGGAACACCAAAAGCGAAGGCAGCGUACUGGGUAGUUACUGACGCUCAGGGACGAAAGCGUGGGGAGCGAACGGGAUUAGAUACCCCCGUA
Molecule: ribosomal RNA, 269 nt
Filed under: uncultured prokaryote
Description: partial 16S ribosomal RNA
Rfam family: Bacterial small subunit ribosomal RNA
Source: RNAcentral